This 469-nucleotide ribosomal RNA is filed under the name uncultured organism. RNAcentral's name for it is "partial 16S ribosomal RNA". It matches the Rfam family "Bacterial small subunit ribosomal RNA", at positions 335 to 797 of the family's 1533-position model. The record is from RNAcentral.
ACUCCUACGGGAGGCAGCAGUGGGGAAUUUUGGACAAUGGGCGAAAGCCUGAUCCAGCAAUGCCGCGUGCAGGAUGAAGGCCUUCGGGUUGUAAACUGCUUUUGUACGGAACGAAAAAGCUCCUUCUAAUACAGGGGGCCCAUGACGGUACCGUAAGAAUAAGCACCGGCUAACUACGUGCCAGCAGCCGCGGUAAUACGUAGGGUGCGAGCGUUAAUCGGAAUUACUGGGCGUAAAGCGUGCGCAGGCGGUUAUGUAAGACAGAUGUGAAAUCCCCGGGCUCAACCUGGGAACUGCAUUUGUGACUGCAUGCUAGAGUACGGUAGAGGGGGAUGGAAUUCCGCGUGUAGCAGUGAAAUGCGUAGAUAUGCGGAGGAACACCGAUGGCGAAGGCAAUCCCCUGGACCUGUACUGACGCUCAUGCACGAAAGCGUGGGGAGCAAACAGGAUUAGAAACCCCUGUAGUCCC